Molecule: ribosomal RNA, 497 nt
Filed under: uncultured bacterium
Lineage: Bacteria
Description: partial 16S ribosomal RNA
Rfam family: Bacterial small subunit ribosomal RNA
Source: RNAcentral
GAUGAACGCUGGCGGCGUGCCUAAUACAUGCAAUUCGAGCGAACGGACGAGAAGCUUGCUUUUCUGAUGUUAGCGGCGGACGGGUGAGUAACACGUGGAUAACCUACCUAUAAGACUGGGAUAACUUCGGGAAACCGGAGCUAAUACCGGAUAAUAUUUUGAACCGCAUGGUUCAAAAGUGAAAGACGGUCUUGCUGUCACUUAUAGAUGGAUCCGCGCUGCAUUAGCUAGUUGGUAAGGUAACGGCUUACCAAGGCAACGAUGCAUAGCCGACCUGAGAGGGUGAUCGGCCACACUGGAACUGAGACACGGUCCAGACUCCUACGGGAGGCAGCAGUAGGGAAUCUUCCGCAAUGGGCGAAAGCCUGACGGAGCAACGCCGCGUGAGUGAUGAAGGUCUUCGGAUCGUAAAACUCUGUUAUUAGGGAAGAACAUAUGUGUAAGUAACUGCGCACAUCUUGACGGUACCUAAUCAGAAAGCCACGGCUAACUACGUG